GGGAACGGUGGUCGCUCGGAGAAAGCUCUUGGACAACACCCAAGAGGACAUUUGGGCUUUGCCCCAAGGAUAAAAUUUAAAGGUGGCCAUGGAGGCAACCAGGAAAGGACUGGAGCAGUCAGGAGGCAGCUGGCUCUUAGGGGGAGAAGCCAGCUCCGGGGCAGUCUAGGUAAGAUGGGGAAGGGGAGGCAGGGAGGCCUCUGCUCCACCUGACUCCGCCAGCCUUGGGAAGCUCGGGGAAUACGGACUUGCCCAGAUGGGAGAGGCAGUUGCCUUGGCCCUGGCGAGCUCCUGCCGUCUCCCCAGCCCUCCUCGGAGGCUGGGCCUGAACUACUAACGAGAUCAAGGAUGGCGCCACUCAGCAGGUGUAAACGGGCUGAGUUAGGGAGCCCCUCAUUCCCCUCCCGCUGUCCCCACCUGUCCCGUGCCACACCCACCUGCUGCUCUCUCCCUCCAUCACUGUAGAGCCUUGCUUUUUAUUUAUUUAUUUGAGAGAGAGUCUCGCUCUCUCGCCCAGGCUGGAGUGCAGUGUUGUGAUCUCGGCUCACUGCGACCUCUGCCUCCCAGGUUCAAUCAAUUCUCCUGAGAAUGGCUUGAACCUCGGAGGCGGAGGUUGCAGUGAGCCAAGAUCGUGCCACUGCACUCCAGCCUGGGUGACAGAGCAAGACUCCGUCUCCAAAAAAAAAAAAAAAGAAAUGUCUUCCUACAGUUAGUCAUUCCUUUAGCCAGGAAAUGUUUAUGGAGUCCCUGUGACGUGUCAGGUGUUGGACCAGACACUGCUGAGACAGGGAUGAGCAACACAGACAUGAUCCCUGCCCUCGAGGGUAUCCAGUCUAGUGGGCGUUAUCAAAUGAUCACGCCUGUCAUUGCAGGCGGAAUGGGGUGUCGGAGAGGUCAACGAGGAGUAGCCAGAUAAAGUCUCCCCAAGGAAGCGACCUGUGGGUUGAAAUCUGAAAGGUUAUAGCAGCCUAAUUAGGUGACGGGGAAGCAUUCCAGGUGAGGUAAGCGCAGGUGUGAAGAGACGCUUUGACGUGGGAAGGAGCAACGAAGAAGCUGGGUGAAGGCGGCAGACAGGAGCCAGGUUUGGCCAGGCUUUUGUCUAAUCAAGUUGACUGUCUUUAGCUGUGAGGGUUGCCCCUUUAGACUUUGCUUCCUUAGAGGACUUACCCUCGUUGUUUCUUCAAGGCUGGCCAAGCCUUCCAGUGACCUCCUGACUGCCCAUCAGGGCCCCCAUGCUCAGAAAAGCCAGAGAUCCCGUGACAGCUUCCAGACAGUGUCACACUCUUCCAGUUUCCUUGCUUUUUGCGCAGCCCCCAGCUCCCACCGUUUUUCUGCAUAAUCUUGGUGCAAGAGUGGGAGGCUCAUUAAUCUGAUGGAAACUGGCUUUUAAAUGGGGAGAAGUGAAGCAGGAACUGGAGCUCCUUUCAGACUUGGGAAAGCCCUUCUCCCUGGGCACUGGUUGCCUCACUGGGAAGCUGAGAGUGCCAGCCUCUGGAGCUCCUUUCUGUUCUGAUAUUCCAGGAGCACGUGAAUUGCCUCUGCUUAUGUUCAGGCCCCAUCCUAAACCCAGCCGUCCGGCACUGAGCGAUCCCAGGCCUUUGGGAAUGCCAUGAUGCUGCCCAAUGGGAAAUUUGUACACUGGGUGCUAUCCAUGUCACAUCACGGGGACCAGCCAUGAAAGAGCAAAGUGACCUCCACGUCUGAUGCUGGGGUCAUCAGGACAGACCCAUCAUGGCUGUCUUUUUGCCCCACCCCCUGCCGUCAGUUCUUCCUGUCUCCGGGGCUGGCUUCCCGCACUAGGGAACGGGUUGUAAGUGGGGAACACGACUUCCUUCCAGAGUCCUUGAGCACCUCAGCUAAGGACCACAGUGCCCCGUAGAGCUCCUAGAUUACCUCACUUGGAACGGCAUUGCGCAUGUCUGGAGAAGGGCUCCAUUUGGUUCCGCCCCACUCCCCUCUCCAAGUGCCGCAACUUCCCUCAGAGCAUCCUCUCCAGUGGAUCCAAGAACACUCUCUCCUAGAGACACCACCUUCCUGCCAGCUGUUUGCCCUUAGGCCAGUACACAGAAUGAGUGGGGGAGAUGGCAGACGCUUUCUGGCACCUGCCCAAUACAUGUAUUCUCCGACACUCUUAUUUGGUCAUAAAACAAUAAACGGUAUCAAUUUCA
RNAcentral lists this long non-coding RNA (2168 nucleotides) under Macaca fascicularis (crab-eating macaque). Its description in RNAcentral is "lncRNA (ENSMFAG00000062199.1)". Lineage: Eukaryota; Metazoa; Chordata; Mammalia; Primates; Cercopithecidae. The record is from RNAcentral.